CCUGUUUCUGUUUGUUUCAGUGUCAUAACAUUAACUACGAUGGCAGAAAUAGGUCACACUGUUUCUAGACUUCACAGUUUAAUCUGUAGAUGCAGUGUGAGUCCCAAAUGGAACUCUACUCCCUAUAAAGUGCACUACUUUUUUUAUACCAGGGUCCACAUAGGGCUCUGUUCAAAACUAGUGCACUAUAUAGGGAAUAGGGUUCCAUUUGGAACCAGUCUGGCAGAACUAGCUGACAGAAGCCAUUCAGUCCGGAGGAACCAAUGACGUCCCAUGCAGAUCUAAAAAACACAGAACUUUAAAAAAAAAUGUAUUGAUAAAUGUAUUGAUAAAUGUAUUGAUAGAUGUAUUGAUACAUGUAUUGAUAAAUGUAUUGAUAGAUGUAUUGAUACUUUAUGUCAGUAUUAGUUAAGGAAGGCUAAUAGCCUCUCCGUUUCAUGAUAAGUUAUAUUUAUGACCUUCCUUGUUCACUGCGUGUGUUCUGUUUUCUCAGUGCUACAUGUUAACUGAUAAAGAUGAUGUUGACGUAGAGGUGUGGCUAUUAGUCUACCUUGGAUGCAUCCCAAAUGGCACCAUGUUCCCUAUGUAGUGCACUAUCGUCCCUGGUCAAAGUUUUUUAUUUAUUUAUUUAACUAGUCAGUUAAGAACAAAUUCUUAUUUUACAAUGACGGCACAAACCCAGACGACGCUGGGCCAAUUGUGCACCGCCCUAUGGGACUCCCAAUCACAGCCGGUUGUGAUACAGCCUGGAAUCGAACCAGGUGUCUGUAGUGACGCCUCUAGCACUGUGACACAGUGCCUUAGACCGUUGCACCACUCAGGAGGGACUAGGGUCCCACUAGGGUGCAUUAACUCUACCUACAUGUACAUAUUACCUCAAUUACCUCAGCUAACCUGUGCCCCCGCACAUUGACUCUGUACCGGUGACCCUGUAUAUAGCCUCCACAUUGACUCUGUACCGGUGACCCUGUAUAUAGCCUCGCUACCGUUAUUUUAUUAUUGCUCUUUAAUUAUUUGUUAUUUUUCUAUUUUCUUCCAUUUUUUAUUUAUACAUUUUUUACUUCACUUUAUUUUAGUAAAUACUUUCUUCACACUUAUUUUUCUUAAAACGGUAUUGUUGGUUAAGGGCUUGUAAGUCAGCAUUUCACUGUAAGGUCUACUACACCUGUUGUAUUUGAAGUAUGUGACAAAUAAAAUUUGAUUUGGGAUGCAGCCCUUGUUUAUCUGUUGGGAGCUACACAAUGAAACUAAACACCUCAAAGAGUUGGA
Oncorhynchus tshawytscha (Chinook salmon) is the source of this 1269-nucleotide long non-coding RNA. The record is from Ensembl. NCBI's taxonomy places the organism in Eukaryota, Metazoa, Chordata, Actinopteri, Salmoniformes, Salmonidae.